CAAAAAGACCCUAUGAAGCUUUACUGUAACUUGAAAUUGAAAUUGGACUUUAUUCGCGCAGUAUAGGUGGGAAGCGUUGAAAAUACUCUUGCGGGAGUAUUGGAGCUAUCAGUGAGAUACCACUCUUGUAAUGUUAGAUUUCUAACUUUGAACCAUUAUCUGGUCAGAGGACAGUUUCAGGCGGGCAGUUUGACUGGGGCGGUCGCCUCCCAAACGGUAACGGAGGCGUACAAAGGUUUCCUCUGAACGUGUAGAAAUCGUAUCUAGAGUGUAAAGGCAUAAGGAAGCUUGACUGUGAGACCUACAAGUCGAGCAGGGACGAAAGUCGGUCUUAGUGAUCUGACGGUACUGAGUGGAAAGGCCGUCACUCAACGGAUAAAAGUUACUCUAGGGAUAACAGGCUGA
Molecule: ribosomal RNA, 405 nt
Filed under: Trieres sp. (in: diatoms)
Lineage: Eukaryota; Bacillariophyta; Thalassiosirophyceae; Eupodiscales; Parodontellaceae
Description: Trieres sp. partial large subunit ribosomal RNA
Rfam family: Bacterial large subunit ribosomal RNA
Source: RNAcentral